UGGAACUGUCGUGGGUUUGGCGGCUCUCUCGUUAUUGAUACUCUUUGCAAUCUCAACACCUGCUUCCAUCCUUAGUUCUUGCUUCUCUCUGCGACCAAGUCAUUAUUCGAUGGGGUGGAUCACUUACUUCGUUCCCUUAGCUACCAAACUAGUAAUAAUAUCGUAGUAGAAUGUAAUAGUGAAAGUGUAGGUGGGCUUGCUUUGGCUUGGAGCUUUGACUACCAAGUCUUUGUAUUCUUCUCUUCUUC
This 248-nucleotide long non-coding RNA is filed under the name Linum usitatissimum (flax). RNAcentral describes it as "long non-coding RNA (LUSI_LNC007808)". Lineage: Eukaryota; Viridiplantae; Streptophyta; Magnoliopsida; Malpighiales; Linaceae. The record is from RNAcentral.